CCAUGGGCGGGAAGCCGGGCGGCGGGCGGGACGUGGCCUCGGUCCCGGCCCUGCCCCGCCCCGCCGCCACUGAGACUCCCAGCGCCACCAACGUCGGAGUUGCAGUUUCUUUAGCUGUCAUAUGCAGACAAGUACUACCCACCUCGCCUUUGGAGUGAGCAGCAUCCCUGUGCCCAUCCUGCUGUGAUUCAGGAGUCUCGCAGAAGACAUCAGAAUGCCUUUCUCUGAGUCACAGUCUGUAUCUUCUAGAAAAGGCUGUCCAUCUUCACCCCAAGCCCACUGGCUCCUGAGAUACGACAUCCAGACCCAGUGCAGCUGGACCUGGCCCAGGAAGAUCAUGCGGUUUCUGGGAAGCACUGGAGAAGGAAAAGGCUGAAGAAAGGAAGACCGCUACUGAAAACAGAAGACUGGUCCAAGUGAGGUCUCCAGCUCUAAGGGCUCGGAUUCACGGCAGAGAUCCACGGUUCCUGGCUCCUCUCUCUAGCCCUUAGUCCUCUCUAUUACUGCAAGGAUUUGGCUUCAAGGAAAAGAAAUACAAGUCCUUCCGCCUUGGCAAAGAUGAUAGUACCGUUCCCUUCAGUGUUCCGGUUCUGCUCUAUUGGAUAAGUUCCGGUUUGACUAUGACUACGUGAAAAUGUGGAACCAGACCUUCACCCCACAUUCCAGCUCCAGCUCUACCACAGAGGAAGUGCAAUAUCACCUUAGUUAUUCAACACAUUAUGCUCCUCGUGAUACAACCAGAGUUCACAUCAGCAAUCUUGGCAGCUCUCACCACGCUGCUGACUCACGACUCUCUCAUGUCCCAAUUUCCUGUCCAUUGUUCUUUCCUCUACUUGGCCUGAUUUCUAAAGGCCUCUCUUGGUUGCAUUAAGCGGGAUUCCUGAGGGAUUCCCUUGGCAGUUACCUUGGGGGAGCUCUUAGGUUUGGGGCUGAUCCAUGUCCUCUAAAUGUAGGACUUCAAAGCUCCCAAAGAUAGGCAGGCCCAGUGGGAAGCUGGGAAAUGCUCUCUGACCCCUCUGGGAGGGCUGGCAGUCAGAGGGCCUUUUGGAAAGAGUCAGACCUGAUCCAUAAGUCCCUGGAAAACACCCUGCCCAGGGAGCAAAUGCCACUGUGGCCUUGACUGAGGCUUCAGAAGAGUUUGGGAGCUGCAAUUCAUCCACACACGCAUUCAUUUUCAAGUAGUGGUUUGCAGUUCAGGCUUUGGAGCCACAUAAGCCUGGCUUCAAAGCCACUUUCCAGCUUUGUAGGAAGUCUCUACAUUUUUAAACCUCCAUUUUUUUUUCCUGUAAAACUGGGGUCUUCAUGGUACUUAACUUCAUCGUGAUGUUGAGAGAAUGAAAAGAAAAAGGAUAAAUAAAUGGCUUAGCCUCGUGCCUUGGCACA
Molecule: long non-coding RNA, 1383 nt
Filed under: Homo sapiens (human)
Lineage: Eukaryota; Metazoa; Chordata; Mammalia; Primates; Hominidae
Description: long independently transcribed non-coding RNA 2777 (LINC02777)
Source: RNAcentral